Molecule: small nucleolar RNA, 92 nt
Organism: Elaeis guineensis (African oil palm)
Lineage: Eukaryota; Viridiplantae; Streptophyta; Magnoliopsida; Arecales; Arecaceae
Source: RefSeq, a predicted model, not a curated record
UCUCGGUGAUGAGCAAAGAAAAUAUAGAUGACGAGUCCGAUUUAUCCAUUCAAAAUACCAUGAGGACGAAUCGAGGCAUUUGUCUGAGAGAU